RNAcentral lists this long non-coding RNA (377 nucleotides) under Rattus norvegicus (Norway rat). RNAcentral describes it as "long non-coding RNA NONRATT030101". The record is from RNAcentral. Lineage: Eukaryota; Metazoa; Chordata; Mammalia; Rodentia; Muridae.
CUUAGCAAUAUAUUACCACAUAAAGAACAGAGAUGCAAAUAGAUCCCUAGACAUUUUUGAUGAGCGGUCACAUCCUCUCACAGUAAGUAUCUGUUUGCCUUUCUUAAAAUAGUGUUUUUCUUUCCUAGAACUGUGUUUACUUCAUGUCUGCUUGUUAUAUAGCUGAUGAGAAAACUAGUCCCUCCAGCUUGAGUUAGGAGUGUUGGACCGUAGCUGUGAUGGAGUAACAGUGAGCUAAGAGAAGCAAAUGUAUUUAUUGUCUUAAAUAAUAGAAAAGUCAGCUUUUCUAAAGAUACUCUUCAGUAACAUCAAACAGUAUAAGUAUUUGUAAACAUCCUUCAAAUACGUAGAAAAAAAAGAAAUUAGGAAACUUUAAA